AGUCGAGCGAAUCGAUGGGAGCUUGCUCCCUGAGAUUAGCGGCGGACGGGUGAGUAACACGUGGGCAACCUGCCUAUAAGACUGGGAUAACUUCGGGAAACCGGAGCUAAUACCGGAUACGUUCUUUUCUCGCAUGAGAGAAGAUGGAAAGACGGUUUACGCUGUCACUUAUAGAUGGGCCCGCGGCGCAUUAGCUAGUUGGUGAGGUAAUGGCUCACCAAGGCGACGAUGCGUAGCCGACCUGAGAGGGUGAUCGGCCACACUGGGACUGAGACACGGCCCAGACUCCUACGGGAGGCAGCAGUAGGGAAUCUUCCGCAAUGGACGAAAGUCUGACGGAGCAACGCCGCGUGAACGAAGAAGGCCUUCGGGUCGUAAAGUUCUGUUGUUAGGGAAGAACAAGUACCAGAGUAACUGCUGGUACCUUGACGGUACCUAACCAGAAAGCCACGGCUAACUACGUGCCAGCAGCCGCGGUAAUACGUAGGUGGCAAGCGUUGUCCGGAAUUAUUGGGCGUAAAGCGCGCGCAGGUGGUUCCUUAAGUCUGAUGUGAAAGCCCACGGCUCAACCGUGGAGGGUCAUUGGAAACUGGGGAACUUGAGUGCAGAAGAGGAAAGUGGAAUUCCAAGU
RNAcentral lists this ribosomal RNA (631 nucleotides) under Bacillus sp. 3B-3. RNAcentral's name for it is "bacterial SSU rRNA". It matches the Rfam family "Bacterial small subunit ribosomal RNA", at positions 60 to 674 of the family's 1533-position model. The record is from RNAcentral. Lineage: Bacteria; Bacillati; Bacillota; Bacilli; Caryophanales; Bacillaceae.